RNAcentral lists this ribosomal RNA (264 nucleotides) under uncultured bacterium. Its description in RNAcentral is "partial 16S ribosomal RNA". It matches the Rfam family "Bacterial small subunit ribosomal RNA", at positions 90 to 354 of the family's 1533-position model. The record is from RNAcentral.
UCUUAGUGGCGGACGGGUGAGUAACGCGUGGGGAACCUGCCCUGUACAGGGGGAUAACACUUAGAAAUAGGUGCUAAAACCGCAUAAGCGCACAGCUUCGCAUGAAGCGGUGUGAAAAACUCCGGUGGUGUAAGAUGGACCCGCGUCUGAUUAGCUUGUUGGCGGGGUAACGGCCCACCAAGGCGACGAUCAGUAGCCGGCCUGAGAGGGCGGACGGCCACAUUGGGACUGAGACACGGCCCAGACUCCUACGGAAGGCAGCAG